This 228-nucleotide ribosomal RNA is filed under the name uncultured bacterium. RNAcentral describes it as "partial 16S ribosomal RNA". It matches the Rfam family "Bacterial small subunit ribosomal RNA", at positions 355 to 574 of the family's 1533-position model. The record is from RNAcentral.
UGGGGAAUAUUGCGCAAUGGGGGAAACCCUGACGCAGCGACGCCGCGUGAGCGAUGAAGGACUUAGGGUUGUAAAGCUCUGUUUUAAGGGACGAAUGUUACGGGGAGUAAUAUGCCCUGUAAAUGACGGUACCUUAAGAGGAAGCCCCGGCUAACUACGUGCCAGCAGCCGCGGUAAGACGUAGGGGGCGAGCGUUGUCCGGAAUUACUGGGCGUAAAGAGCACGUAG